UUGGACUGACCGGGUUAUUCAAAAUGGUUCUGAAGAGCAACCAUCACGUAAAAGCAGAAAACGGGAUAAUCAACUUGGGCUUGUGAAUCAGGAUAAGGCCCUUAACAAGUCAAACUCUAGAAAGCGGUAUUCCGAUGGCAAUUGCAGUCUAUCAACAGAGAAACCAGUGGGUUAUAUAGAUGAGAAUGCACCAGCAGAACUUGUUAUGCAUUUUCCUGUGGUGGAUUGUGUUCCUUCGGAAAUAAGGCUUAAUAAGAUGUUCAGACGGUUUGGGCCUUUAAAAGAGCCGGAGACAGAAGUGGAUAAGGAUACCAAUCGUGCCAGAGUUGUUUUCAAGAAGAGUGCUGAUGCAGAAGCUGCAUAUGGUAGCGCUUCGAAGUUCAACAUUUUUGGUUCUAUACUUGUAAAUUACCAGCUCAACUAUACUAUAUCUGUACCAUUUAAAAGUCAACCAAUGAUCACAUUCCAUGGUGAGGAAGAUGCAACACUUUUUCUGCAGUAUUGAAGAAGCAGAUUUGAUAUAAAAAUUUGGGUAAUUUUUUUUUUCAUUUGGAAGAAAUUUUCCAACUUACUUCGUCUGAUUUUCUUGUUUAUUUUUUUAUUUUUAAUAGAUGGCUGCUUGUAGCUCACUGGAUCACUGCUCAAUAGUUUAACGUUAUCCCUUUGCAUGAGGUCUCCUGCAUUAUGGGCUGAAGGCCAAAUGCAGGUCAAAAGUGCAAUUUAGUUUAGUUUUCAUAAUUAUUUUUUAGCUUUUGAAGUGUUAUAGUUGAAUGUGUGAAAGAUGGGAGGGAAAUGUGGAGAAGCUAGAGAGAGAUUAGAGAAAAAGGGACCGAUGAUCCAUAUUCUAUUUAUUUGGAAUAGCAAGCCUUUGGACCAGUUAACUAGUUGUGUGUAUAUAUCCUGACGGAGUUUUAACCAAUAUCGUUUGGUUAAAACGAAAUAAGAGAAAAAAUAGGCUAGAAGACGAAAAGUCUUAUUGGAAUUUCUCAGAAAUUGAAAAGUGAGUUUCUAAUAUCCAAGAGAGGCUAUUUAUAAUAGAAAUAAAAACCCUAAUGUGCAAAAUUAUGAAAAUACCCAAAAUAUUCAAAAAUUAAUUAAAAUACAAAAUUGACCCUCUAAACGGUGGAAUUUUCAUAUCGAACUUUGUGACAGGCCUGCGACCCUCGUCACACUUUUGAAAGUCGUGCGUCUCAAAAUUUCUUUUUCAAAAAGUUAUCGUGAGUCUCUAUCGGAUGUCAGCAGUAAAAGUUAAGCCCGGUUCAAGUCUGCCGUAAAGUCCAAGGCUAGUUGCUCCAUGUCAUUCCCUUCCACUUGUAAAGAACUCGACCUCGAAUUGUCAUCAGCAUGGUAGUACUGAAAUAGAUUUGCCACAUUAAACGCCUUGAAAAUUUUCAUCUCAUGUGGUAGGUCAAGAACAUAGGCAUUGUCAUUGAUCUUCUGAAUGAUCCGGAAUGGACCAAUCUUCUUGGCGUCAAGUUUUUUCCGUCCUCCACCACGCUUCUUGCGUAAAUACACCAUAACUUGAUCACCGACAUUGAAGGACUUGAAACGCCUAUGUUUAUCGGUUGUAGCUUUAUAUUUGUCAUUGGCUUCUAUAAGGCAUUGUUGUACCUGUUUGAAAACAUCCACGUGUGCUGCUUUGCCAAGUUGCUUGCUGCAAUAUUGUUGCAAUACUGUUGUGAGAACCUGUGGGAAGGGCAAUAAGAUCAACUGUAUGCGCUGGAACUUUCCUGUAUACAACAGCAAAUGGUGACAUCCCUGUGGAGCUGUGGACAAUAUUGUCGUAAGCAAAUUCUGCUUGGUUAAAAGCAAGAUCCCAAACAGUUUUCUUGUUAUUGCAGAUGCAGUGCAGAAAAUUGCCAAGCGUGGGAUUUACCACUUCAGUUUGUCCAUCAGUUUGGAGAUGGGCAGCAUUGCCUGCUGUAAUUGCCUCUAUACUGCUGUGUUCCUGUCGAACCAGAAUUUCUGUAAUUAAAUUUCGGUUGUACUACUGUCGUGGUUGCCAAUUAACACGCUCUUCUGCCCUUUUUGCCAUCUCAAUAGCGUCUGCCAAGGUGAAAAUCGCAGCUACUCCCAUCAUACAAUGAAUUUCGUGAUUCAGGCCUCUCUGACAAUGAGCAACCUGCUGGGCUUCGUUCUCACAGUUUUCACACCUCGCUUGCAACCUCAAAAACUCCUCGGUAUAUUCAUCCACCCUUCGGUUCCCCUGUACACAGUCAUAAUACCGGUUAUACAAAAUCUGAACGUGAUCACUAGGCAAGAACCUUUGUUUAAUCAUCUGCUUCAUUAACACCCAGUUUUGUAUGGGUUCCAGCCUCCUUUGAUAGCAUUCGUUUUGAAUUGAAUUCCACCAGGCUGCUGCACCCCCUUUUAACUUAUAGGCCACAAUCGGAACCUUGCGAUCCUUUUCUACAUUCAUAAUUUCGAAGAAACGUUCAACCUUUGCCAGCCAAUCAAGAACAGAUUCCACAUCCAACGAAUCAGAAAAGUUUUGAAGGUCUAUCUUGAUCUUGUAACCUUCCUAAUAGUUCUGUUGGGGAUUUGUAGGCACAGGAUUGGCAUCCAUAGGACUGGCAACUGGCUGGGGGUGUGCGGCGGUGGGUUGGUGGAUUCCCUGCUGCAGGGUCAGCUGUCCGAUCAUCUGCCUCAAUUCUGCCAAAGAUGUCUCAAUCGCAGCAAGUCGCGCUUCUUGGUUAUCUGCCAUUGUCGAACUUUGCUCUGAUACUAAUAUGAUAAAGGACUAUUUAGACUUCGUCAGGAGUUUUAACCAAUAUCGCUUGGUUAAGACGAAAUAAGAGAAAAGAUAGGCUAGAAGACGAAAAGUCUUAUUGAAAUUUCUCAAAGAUUGAAAAGGGAGUUUCUGCCCUUUUUGCCAUCUCAAUAGCGUUUGCCAAGGUGAAAAUCGCAACUACUCCCAUCAUACAACGAAUUUCGUGAUUCAGGCGCCUCUGAUAAUAAGCAACCUGCUGGGCUUUGUUUUCACAGUUUUCACACCUUAUAUUCAUCCACCUUUCGGUUUCCCUGUACACAGUCAUGAUAUCGGUUAUACAAAACCUGAACGUGAUUGCUAGGCAAGAACUGUUGUUCAAUCAUCUGCUUCAUCAACACUCAGUUUCGUAUGGGUUCCAGCCUCCUCUGAUAGCAUUCGUUUUGAAUCGAAUUCCACCAGCUACCCCCUUUUAACUUAUAGGCUACAAUCGGAACUUUGUGAUCUUCUUCCACAUUCAUAAUUUCGAAGAAACGUUCAGCCUUUGCCAGCCAAUCAAGAACAGAUUCCACAUCCAACGAACCAGAAAAGUUUUGAAGGUCUAUCUUGAUCUUGUAACCUUCCUAAUAAUUCUGUUGGGGAUUUGUAGGCACAGAAUUGGCGACUGGCUGGGGGUGUGUGACGGCGGCGGGUUGGUGGAUUCCCUACUGCAGGGUCAGCUGUCCGAUCAUCUCUCUCAAUUCUGCCAAAGAUGCCUCAAUCGCAGCAAGUCAUGCCUCUUGGUUAUCUGUCAUGGUCGAACUUUACUCUAAUACCAAUAUGACAAAGGACUAUUUAGACUCCGUUAGUAGUUUUAACCAAUAUCGCUUGGCUAAGACGAAAUAAGAGAAAAGAUAGGCUAAAAGACGAAAAGUCUUAUUGAAAUUUCUCAAAGAUUAAGAAGGGAGUUUCUAAUAGCCAAGAGAGGCUAUUUAUAAUAGAAACAAAACCUUAGUAUGCAAAAUUAUAAAAAUACUCAAAAUAUCCAAAAAAAUAAUUAAAAUGCAAAAUUAACCCUCUAAAUGAUGAAAUUUCCAUAUCGAACUUUGUGAUAGGCCUGUAGCUCUCGUCACACUUUUGAAAGUCGUGCAUCUCGAAAUUUCCUUUUCAAAAAGUUAUCGUGGGUCUCUAUCGGAUGUUGGCAGCAAAAGUUAGGCCCGGUCCAAAUCUGCCGUAAAGUCCAAGACUAGUUCCUCUAAAUCAAUAUGUGGUUUUCUUUUGUGGACAUUUCACUUGGUAAUGUGUGAGUGCUCACCCCACCUGGAAUUGAUACCGAAACAUGCACAUUUCAUUAACCUUUCGUUUAGUAUAAUUUAUUUUCUUGAAAUAACUAUCCCGAAACUUGAUAUGCCCUCUGUUGCUGCACAGUCAGAUUCUGAAAAUUCUCUUCAUUAUUGAGCUUGUAAAUCUUGGCAUGUGAUCUAUGACACUGUUGUCUUUUUUGGGAGAUUUGACUCUUCAUCUAAUUUAUUUUACUUCAUUAUCUGUUCGGUAUAUUAUCUACUAAUUAAAUUUUCUUGACAGGAGAUAGCAGAUGUUGAAGAACUGCAGCAGAUGCAGCACAGCUUCUACUCCUGAUGCUCUUAUACGUGCUUAUGUUAAUGGGACACUGAAGAACAGUAUAUUGCUAAUACUUCUGGUUGUCUGCUGCAUCUUUCGUGGAUGAUUUUGGCAUGAUUUGGGGCAAGAUGCAGAGGGUUGAGGUUGUUCUUAAUCUAAGUAGGUUCGGUUAGUACAUUAUAUAGCCGUAGUUUUAGCUGACCCUUGUAGUUGCUAUCCUUGAGAAGUAUGAGGUUCAGUUACAGAACCUCAGUUGCUUGUUUAUUAUCAUUUAUGCAUAUAAUGAAUUUCUUUCUGUAAAUCACAAUAGAGGUAGAAUGCUUUUUGUCCAUAUGCUGAAAGUCACCCACAGUUUAGCCUUGGCAAUAUUGAAGCAUAUCAUUCAAGCAAUGUCUUUUUCUAAGGUUUGUAUCGCAUAUCGUGCCUCUUCUGUCUGCCUUGUGUAGUCAUUUUCUCUCAUCGAUUUUUUGUUUUUUUUUUGGGAUAUAUGUUAUCGCAUUUUGAGUUGUGGAACUUUGCAAAUAGCAUUGCAGAGAGAAUGAGUAACUAUAGCAGGCUUGGCAUGCUUAAAUAGUCAGAAUAUAUAUUAAGAACUCAACAAACUGUUGAUCUUUGGUAUGUAUUGGAAACUGAAUUGCUGCAAUGGUGGUGAGUAUGCAAUUGUAAUUACUUAUAAAGAAGGAUUUAAUUCGUUAAAAACAAAGAAACCUUAGAAUUUUCCCUUUUGCCUCUCAUAAUUUUGUUUUCUGAUAUGGGAGUAGAGAUAUCUUCUGUUGCAUCACCCCAGUUCUUUAGAAGCUCUAUAUCUGAUAUUCUGUGGUUAUGCCCGUCUGAGCAUUACAUCGUGUUACUAAAACAAAUGGAGAACCUCUCAUGGACAUGGUGGAACCACCUGUUUAAUGCUGCAAGUGGUGCUCAGGUUCCAUCCAAAUGAUUUUCUCUGUUCGUGUGAGGAUGCUUCUUCUUCUUCUGUGUUGGCAGGUAAGUGUUGAAGAUGGGUUCAUGGCCAAUAUGAUGAAACUUAGUUUAGCAUUAUGGAGCUGUUACUUUGCAAUGGAACUGAUUCUUUGUUAUUUUAUUGUCUGAUUAUGAUGUGUAUUUUCUGUGUAGUGUGUAAAUAUAUACCCUUAAAUGGGCUCCAUGCAUUACUUCAUCUCUUCACCUGGAGUUUGGCGCUUAUGAAUUUUUUGUGCAGACACAUACCCCUGAUUUUUCUAACAUAUACAAAUCAAACGUGCCUUUCCUACUAUGAAAUUGUUGUUUGAUUCCAAUGAAGAAUCCCAAUUCUUCUUUUAAGUGAAUACCAACCUACGAACAGAAUCCCCAAAUUCUGUGUAAAAAGUGGCUGAGCAACGGGAUCAUUGGACUGUCACCGCUAGUUUUUCUGCUGAGAGGAAAACCUCUGUUAUCUCCACUACCACCAACAUUCUGAAUCAAUCAAUAACAAAAUAAAUAAAUAAAUAAUUUGCACUAUUUAGGUUAGGGGUUACAACUAAGAACAUACUCUAAGGACAUAACCAUAGAUCUUGGUUAUGGGUACGUGCCCACCAGCACGUAAUAAUAUGCUAUCAACAUUAGAUCUUGGGUGUUACUCCUCUUGAGGCUUAUAAAGUUUACAACGGUAAUACUGUGGUUGCAGAAAUAAUUUCCAUUUUCCUGAGAAAGGAAAAGAACACAAUCAAAAUUGGGAUGUGUUCACAUUCAAUAUGGGGUUACUCCUUAGUUGCAUAUCGAGUAUUCUGUCAUAUCUGAGUAAUUGGGAUUAGAGUUUUGUUUGUAAAACAACCUAUAUUCUCUAUGUUUAACAUUGAAUUGUUUCAUGAUCUCUUCCCAAAUGUUCAUUGAUCAAACCAGAGAUUCAAACAAGACACGAAUUUAAAUAGGAAAAGGCAAUCUAAUUUAACCAGGAAGACACAAGUUCCAAAUUGGCCUUCUGAAGAAAAUGCAACCAAAACUGACAACGGGGAAUUGGGGAUGCAAAUGCAUAUAUGGCUUUGCUAUCUUCUCAAACAGAGCAGCCUCUGAGAAGAAACCUGGUGACAGAGCUGUGGUAAAAAACUCUUCCUGAGAUUGUUUUUCAAGGUAAAAGUUGGUGGUAGGCACAUAAACAGAUCCAGUGGAGUUUGUAUGCAGAAAGAAAAACUCUGACUGAGAGAUUGUUAUCAUUCAUAUUAUUAUGUGGCUGUUCUAAUUGAUAGUCCAGAAAAGAACAUUAUGAUGUGCAAGUUAAUGAAAAAUUAGGAGGCCAUUUUUUCAUCAAAAUAGGUACGACACAUGGCACAUAGUAGUUUAAUACAGCUCAUAUAUUAGCACAAUUGAGAAAACCAACUUACUAAACAUAUCGUGCUUCUACUUCCAUAUGGAAAACGCCUUCCAAAUUCAAUUUAUUAUACUUAGUAGAAACAUGUUCUAGAUAAAUAUAUUUAUGCAAAAGGAAUGGUUUGAACAGACUCGAAUGCUGCUAACAAGUAACGUUCCAACAAUGUCAUAUAGAAUAAGCAUUAGUAAACAAAAUAUUGCCGUAUGUACCUCAUUAAGAAGGAAAGAAUUAGUGAAAUCAUAUGAACCACACGAGAUAUCUUCUUUAAUGCCAAUCUUUAGCAUACAGUUAAACCUCUUUCAUUGAUCUCCUGUACCUCCACCUUCAGUCACAAAAUCUGAGAGAGUUAUUGUUGGAAAGCUGCCAUUGGCUAUAAGACUUUUAACACUAGAGGAAGUCUUGGCAUCUUCAAAGAACUUAAGUAUUGCAUUUCUAACAAUUAUAUAGGUCUUAUCAAGCAGAUCUGGAAAAUUUUCCCUUGUUGACCAUCUCUUUUAAUAUAUUAAAAGCCAAAGGGAGCUUUACAUCGGCAAGAAAAGCACUUAAUAGGGCUACAUAGAUAAAAAGUGCCAGCUUCCACUCCUUUCUCUACCAUUUCACGUAAAUGGAUCAGAGCAGCAUUUGGCCUAGCACACUUGCAAAGACCAUGAAUAAAUGCCACGAAAGCAACACUAUUAGGAGUGCAACCUCUUCCCCUCAUUUCAGUCCAUAGCAUUUCAGCAUCAUCAGGUCUUCCAGCAUUACAUAGCCCAUCUAUUAAAGUAGUGUAUGCAAUGAUAUAAGGUUCCCUUUCAUUUGCAGACAUACUGGAAGACAACGUCGGGCCUCAUGAAUACAACCACUUCUGCACCACCCAUCUAUAAGCAAGUUAAAUGUGACAAAAGAGGGGACAAGGCCCUUCAUCACCAUCUCUUCAAAUAUAUUAUGAGCUUCUGUAAUUCUUUGAGCCUUAGGGAGCCCACUUAUUAGUAUGUUGUAAGCAACAGCAUGAGAGCAAUGCCCACCAGCACAAAUGUCGCAGAAUAGCUUCAUCGCUUGAUCAACUUCUUGAAUUUCAACCAAAGCACUUAGUGAUGCAGAAUAGGCAAUUAUAUCAGGUAGGAAGCUUCUUGAAUCGUAUCAGCAAGAAAUUUACAGGCUUGUGUUGCCUUCCCAUUUUGGCACGUUUUUCUUACUAGCAAGGUAUAAUGUUUGAUCCAAGGCUCAUGGCCAUGAAUACACAUCUUUUUUAUUAACAUCAAGGGCUCCAGAAGGAUCCCCUCUCCUGCAAAGUCACCCGAACCAUUGUGAGUAAAUUGUGUUGGUUUAAUUCCUGACUCUUUCAUUUCUCUCAGAAGCCCAUAACUUUCUCCAACAUAUCAGAAUUGCAUAGUCCAUCAGUCAGGUUAUUAUAAAUCACUAAAUUAUGACUGCAACCAAUUCGAGCCAUAUCUUGAAAGAGGGAAAGAGCCACGUCCAACUUGCUGGUUGGGACCAAACCCUUAAUUACAAUAGUAAAACUUGCUGUAUUAGGAGCAAAUACCUUUUUUAUCCUGGAAAAGCUUAUGUAACUUGACAUUAUCACCGUAUGCUUUUCCCAUCAUACCCUGAAGAAGACAAUAAGCUUUAUCUAUCAAGCUACCGUUAACAAGUAAAUUCAAACAAGCAUUGCAAAGGAAAGUCAGACCUUCUAAAUCCAUAUCCUCAUGGAUUUUUCCAAAGUAUGUGGGUUAAUUCUUCUUCUUCAGAAAAAAAAGACAUGAGCUUAGUAAAUAUUCCAACAUCAGAUCGGAUUUUGAAUAACUUCGUUUGUGAACAGAACGACAAACCUUUCUCAAGCUCAUUACUACUGCAGAGCCCUCUAAUUAGCAAAUCAAAAAGUCCUAGAUAAGGAGUGAAACCAUACUUCUUCAUCUUAUCAAACAAUUGGAGGGCUUUAUUUAUGGAUCCAUGAAGCAAAAUGCAAAAUCCCACCAAUUUAACAGUUUGAUUUUCCAUUUUUUCUAUAAAUUCAAACGCCUAGUCCGCCUCAGUACACUUGCUAAAAGAAAACAGCAAAAUUGAUGAUAUGUGCUCAUCAACCCAACCACAAUCACACAUUUUCAUAAAAACGCCAAAAGCUUCACCAAACUUCCCCGCAUCACGAUACACCUGCAACACUGGCAUCAAAGUGUACUUGUCAAACUCCCAACCUUGAUCACGCAUUUGUUGGAGUCUGGUCUCAACCAAACUAACAGAAGUAGACCUGUACUUCGAUCUAGAGAUAGCCUCUGACAAACAAUUAUAGCUAUAACUAUUCGGCGCCCAAAGACCCAUCAAUUUUUUAAUUGAUCAAAAAACACAUUAGCUUCAUCAGCCAACCGCACAGUACCCAAACGCUAAUAAAAAAAAUCUAGAGCACCACGAGUCAUUGAACAACGAGAAUUCAGGAUAGCAAAAGACAGAGCUCUCAGCGGGGCAUUUUCUCGAGCAUGUGAUAGGAUUGAGGCCAUUGUAUUAUACGUGUAGAUAUUAUGCUUAUGUCCGUAUUGGUCUGAGGUCCAAUUGAAGAGUUUCUCCAGCUUUUGAAAGAAUUUGACAGAUUCAACGACUUUGGUAUUUAGCAUUGGAGCUAGACUCUUCAACUCAGGGCUGUCUGGGCAAAAUGGCUGCCUAGUGAAGAUGGAUAUGAGGCAAUUGGUAGUUCCGGUGAAGUCUGCGGGUUCAAUGGAGAGAUUUCUCAUGGAGACAAACUUUCGAUUAAUGGGUGAAAUUGAUUUGCAGAGGUGCUGGAUAUGUUUUGCAAUUCUUGACAAUGCCACAUUCUUUCAAUGUAAAAAUAUAAGAUGAAUUUUAGUUUUAAAAUUUAUGUAUUAAGUAUUGAUUAUUAUUAUUAGUUUAUUAAUUAUUAUCAUUAGAUAAUAAUUUGAGACUUAUAAAUAUAUAUUAAUAUUAAUUAAAAAUAAAUUUUAAUUAAUUUAUUGUAUAAGGAUUGGAGGGUAAUUUAUACUUUUAAUCCCUCAACUUUAAAGUUUGUUACAUUUCCUUAUUUCAUCUUUAAUUUGUUAGCAUAAAACCAUUAUCUCUAACAUUUUUGUAUAAAAGUUGCUCAUCUUUAAAAAUAUUAUAUAAAUAAUAUAGCUCAAGUAGAAUUUUAUGUAAUAAAAUUUGCACUUGAUAAUGGCUUCAAGGUAAAAGUUCAAGAUAUUCAAUGUCAGCGUAGAAUUCACAAAAGAAUUCGCCAAUAAAUGUCGAAUUCAUUGAGAAAUUCCACAUUUAGUAUCGAAUUCAAUGUGGAUCGAGUGUUAAAGUAUUAAAUUCAGUGUGAAUUCGGCACUUUAAUAUCAAAACCUAUAUGAAGUUCAAUCCUAAGUGGUUUUGACAUGUAAGAUCCACAAAAAAUAGAUUUGACACUCUACAUUGAAUCUAUUUAAAAUUUGGCACGACAAAGGUUUCGGUGUUAAGUGCCAAAUUCAAUAUGGACUCGACACUUCAGUGUCAAGAUCCACACGAGAUUUAACACUCUGUAUUGAAUCCACCUAAAAUUUAACACCAUAAAGGCUUCAGUGUUAAGUGUCAAACCAAUAUAGAAUUCAACAAAUAAUUCGACAUCGAAUUUCCAUUAAAUCGACAUGUAACGACUCGGAAAUCGGACCGCUAUCGGCGCUAGGAUUUAGAUCGACUUAAGGUCGCCGAAACCCGUAGCAAGCCUAACAUACAUCCUGUUAUACCUGAUGUAAUCCCAUACAUGAUCAUACAUUUUCAUAAAAACUUAAACUUUUCAUAUACCAAGCUUGACUUGUGCAUGCAUCAUAACUGUAAACAUGAAAACCCCACUGUAAACAUGAAAACCCCAUACUAGAGCCCUCAUCAAAUGCUCUAGUAGGGUCAACAUCUCAUACAUCAAGCUUGGUUCAACACAUCUCAUCAUUAAAAAUAUUUACAUAAAGAUCAUGUACAAAAUGGAUUAUAAUCUAUCAAUAGGGCCAAGCACAAUACUAUCCACAAUACAUUACAUGUCCACUACUAAUCUAUUACAUCAUGCUAUACCAAAAAUCUGAUGACUCUCCCACAGCUACCUGUGCUCCUGCAAACCUGGGGGUUAGGGGAAAGGGGUGAGCUACUAAAGCCCAAUGAGCAGAACAAUAAAACAAUUUAUAAACAUAUGCUUUUAUGAAAUGCAUCACAACACAAACAAUUCACAUCACGAAAAGACUUGUCACCAGUAACCCUCUGCAUAUCCAAGUGCCCGGCCCACAACGGGAGCUCCUCAAGUCUUUCGCUUAAUCAUAACAUAACAUAUCCAACUGUGCCAGGGGCGUAGACUGGGCAACCCUGGUCUUUCCCUUACAUAGUGCCAGGACGCGUAGAAUGGGCAGCCCUGGUCUUCCUGUAGUACCCGGCUAGACUCCGGCAUCGGAAUUCCUACCGUCCGGCGGAAUCUCGGAUGUUGAAACUCUCUAGAAGGGUAAGAAUAUGUUUUUCUAAAAUGUUUUUGCAUGUUUUCAAGGUUUUAAGUAUGAAAAAAAAUUGAGUUUUGAAAGAAAAACACCAUGGAGGAAAAUCCAGGUUCGGCCGCCGAACCUCAUGUUCAGCUGCCGAACUUGGUGGAGUUUUGGAGUCACCUUUGGCUUCCGAAGGUGGUCUGGCUAGCCACCUAUAAAAUGCCCCAUGUCCGAAAAUGGGCGAGUUUUCUCCUCCAUUUUCGGGCAAAGGUGAAUUCAUGCCCUUCCAUGGUUGGUUUUGAGGUUUUCCUUUAAUCCUUUCAAGUUUUUAACAAGUUUUAUCUUGGUUUUGAAGAUUUUAAGUUCAAAAUCGAAGUUGAAAAGCUUGGAGACCCCAUAGCUCAAAUCCUCUCAAUCUCCAAGUUUGGGUCACGCCUUCUCUCGAUCUUCAAGAGGUAAGCGUCGAUCCUCAUCGUCUUUGAUGUUUUAAAUAAGUUUUAUGAAGGUUUAUGGGGUAGAAAUGCAUGUUUAAGCUAGUUGUAAAAAAUGUUAGGGUUUAUGUAGAUUUGAGGAUAAAUGUAUGUAAUGUGAUGUUAUGUUGUUGUUUGUUGGGGUUUAGGCUAGUUUUAUGCCCCUAUAUGCUUGAGAAUGAGUUUAUGCAUAUUGUAGAAUAGCUAAAUGUAUGUUUGGAAGGUUUAGGGAGGCAUUUGUGCAUGUGAGGGCUGAGUUUUGCCAUUUCUGGAAGAACUCAGAUUCGGCAGCCGAAGGCAUGUUCGGCCGCCGAACCUGCCUAUGGUGGCACUUUUGGCCGCCUAAGCUUGCCCCCGAAAGUUUAGACUUUCGGCUCUGGAGGGCAGUUUUGGCCGCCGAAGGUGCCGCCGAAGGUGCAUGACUUUCGGCUCUGGAGGGACUUUCGGCCGCCGAAAGUGCCCUGUUCAGCCUUCCUUUGCAUGUUUUCUAUGAAUGUUUUUGUGAUGUUUUAGGGGGUUUUUGGGGAGAUGUAUAGAGUUAUGUUAGUGUAUGUUUGGUCCCUCAUUUGAGUCCACCUGUGUAGAUUCGGACCCGAGGAACCGAGGACCCCAGCAGUGAGAUGACGCAUGAUUCAGCCAGAGGUGAGUAGAACUAACUAAUCUCUUAUUUCAAGAAAUUAAAUGUUUCAAGCAUGAUUCAUGCAUCAUGAUAUAUAAUAGGUUGAUUGCAUUAGAACUCACGAAUAUGACGCAUUGCAUUAUUCAUUGUGGGUGUGGAUGGACAACAGGACGACUCACUAGCCCUCCAGAUUUUUAUUGUAUGUAACAGAAGUCCUGAGGAGCCCCACCGAGGGCCGGGCACAGAGCUUAUUGUAUGUAACAGAAGUCCUGAGGAGCUCCUUCGAGGGCCGGGCACAGAGUGGAGGGAAUUUUGGAUCAGUCCAUCCGUGAUGUGAAUUAAUUGUGUUGUGACGCAUUCCAUGAAGCAUGUUUUAUAUAAUAUUUUAUUGUUCUGCUCACUGGGCUUUUUAGCUCACCCCCUCCCUUAACCUCUAGGCUUGCAGGUCAGAGUCAGAUCAGGAAGUGAGCAAGGGUAAAGAGGUAGUUAAUGUAAUAGUUUAGUGUGGAUAUGAUUUGUAAAUGUUAUAAAGUGUAAUGUAAUGUAAAGAUAUGAGUAUAGUAUUGUGCUUGGCCCUAUGGUCUGUUGUAAUCCUUUUUAUACAUGAUCUGUUUUUAUUAAGGUUUUAAUGAUAUUGAUGUUGAACCAAGCUCGUCUUAAGAGAGAUUGACCCAACUAGAGUAUUUGAUGAGGGCUCUAGUAUGGGGUUUAUUUGUUACAGGUAUUAUGUAUGUGAGACAGGCUUGGUAUAUGGAAAAGUUUAAUUUUUUUUUUUUUUAUGUAAAUGUUUGAUCAUGUAUGGGAUUUUAUCAGGUAUACAGGUUGCAGGUUAGACUUGCUACGGGUCCCGGCGACCUUAAGUCGAUUUGGAUCCUAACGCCGGUAGCGGUCCAGUUUCCGGGUCGUUACACUUCCAUAUCCGUAUCAUAUCAUAACCUGCUCGAGGGCUAGUGGGUCAUCCAAUAUCCAUCCACAUCAACAGCAAAUUAUGCAAUGAAUCAUAUUUGUGAAUUCUAAUGCAAUAACCUAUAAACAUGGCAAUCGUGAUGCAUGAACAUGCUCGAAAGUUUAGUUAUUUUAAAAAAUAAUAAGUAGUUCUGUUCUACUCACAUUGUAACGACCCGAAAAUCGGACCGCUACCGGCGCUAGGAUCCAGAUCGGCUUAAGGCCGCCGGGACCCGUAGCAAGCCUGACAUCUAACCUGUAAACCUGUACAAUCCCAUACAUGAUCAACAACAUACAUAAAAAUUAAAACUUUUCUUUAUAUGAACAUCAACCAAACUCAACCUGUACAUGCACUGUAUAUAACAUCAAUCAUAAGCAUUGAUCCCUCUGUGAGAUCUCAUCAGUGCCCCCAAUGGGUGGCAUAGCAUAUGUUGAGUUGGUUACAUAAACAUCAUAAAAGUCCAAGAUCAUGUAUUAAAAAAGGGAUACAACAAUCUAUGGUCAAACACACCUCUAGUAUCCAUAAACAUCAUCUAUACUGAUUAAAACAUUACAAUACAAUAUGAUCAUGUCCAUUACUAACUGUUACAUAAACAUGACUUCUUUACUCUAUCCGGACUCCUACUCUAUCCUGUACCUGCAAACCUGGGGGUAAAGGGAGAGGGGUGAGCUAAAAGCCCAGUGAGUAGAACUAUAAAACAUAUUAACACUAUGCUCCAAUGAAAUGCAUCAUAUCACAGACAAUUCACAUAAGGGUUGGGUGAACUUGUCACCAAUUAGUCCAAGCUAACAUUGUGCCAGGCCGUAGCAUGGGGUCCUGGUCUUCCUGUCAUAACAUACAUUACUUACCAUUGCCCCAGGGCCUCCUCUGGGUUCCUGGUCUUCGAGUCCCAUAACCGUGCCAGGCCGUAGAAUGGGGUCCUGGUCUUUCCUUACAUUGUGCCAGGCCGUAGAAUGAGGUCCUGGUCUUCCUGUCAUGGACUAAUUGGGUCAUCCAACAUUCACCCACAUCAACAACAAUCGAUGCAAUGCGGCAUAUUCGUGAAGCUAAUGCAAUCAUCCUAUUGCAUAAUCAUGAUGCAUGAAACAUGAUAAAACAUUUAAUUUAAAAAAAUUAAGUUUAGUUCCACUCACCUCUGGCUGACUCUGACAACACCGAAGCAGCUGAACUCACUGCUGGGGUCCUCGGUUCCUCGGGUCCGAACCUACACAGGUGGACUCAAAUGAGGGACCAAACACACCUGAACAUAACUAUAAACUACUCCCCAAAAACCCCCUAAAACAUCAUGAAACAACCAUACAAAAUCAUGCAAAGGAGGCCUGGAGAGGGCACUUUCGGCGGCAGGUUCGGCGGCCGAAAGUCCUUCCAGAGCCGAAAGUCAGGCAGGUUCGGCGGCACCUUCGGCGGCCGAAACUCCCAAACAGAGACGAAACUCAUGCAUGUUCGGCAGCACUUUCGGCGGCCGAAACUGCCAGACAGAGACGAAAGUCUCCCCUUUCUGGGGCAAGCUUCGGCAGCCGAAAGGCUGCCUCCCCAGCCAUGUUCGGCGGCCGAAAAUCCUUCGGCUGCCGAACCUGGUUUCUGCCAAAGGGCAGAAACUUGGCUCCCUUUGCACAUUUCGCCUCCAAACUUAUCAAACAUGCAUCAAACCUAUUCUACAACACACAAACACAAGCAUACAUGUUCCCAGGGGCCUCAAACCAACAUAAGCCCCAUCUACAACACAUCACGAAACUCACAUUGUUCAUGAACAUACAUUUAUACCCAUAAACUCCAAAAACAUAACCAUAAUCUAAACAUGCAUUCUAUCCCAUAGAUAUACUUAAAACUUACUUAAAACAUGCAAUGAGCUUAAGAUCGGCUCUUACCUCUUGAAGAUCAAGAGAGAGACGACUUAAACUCGAAAUUGGGAGAGAUUGGGUUCUUGAACCUCCAAGCUCCAAAACUUUGCUCAAAAGCUUUAAUCUUCAAAACAAAGUUAAAACAAAUGAAAAUCUUGAAAGAUUUAGAGGAAAGGCGUCAAAGAUGGGUGAGGGACGGCGGAGACUCACCUUGGCCGAAAAUGGGGAAAAAGCUCGCCUGUUUUCGGCUAAGGGACCCUUUUAUAGUGGCUGGCCAGACCACGUUCGGGGGCCGAAUGUGCCUCCGCAUGCAUGCCAUGUUCGGCGGCCGAACUUGGGGUUCGGCGGCCGAACCUGGACUUCCCUCACUUAUGCUUUCGGGGGCCUAAAGCACACCCGCAACGCAUGCAUGUUCGGCGGCCGAACUUGAGGUUCGACGGCCGAACCUGAGUUUUCCUCCAAUGCUAUUUUCAUGCAAAAACUCAUUUUCUUUCAUGCUUAAAACAUAAAACACAUUAAAACAUUUCAUAAAAACAUGGUUUUACCCUACUAGAGGCUUCCGACAUCCGAGAUUCCACCGGACGGUAGGAAUUUCGAUACCGAAGUCUAGCCGGGUAUUACACACAUCUGGCUGAAACUGAAACAACUAACUCACUGCUGAUCACCUCGGUUCCUCAGGUUCGAUCCUACACAGGUGGACUCAAAUGAGGGACCAAACAUACACUAUAAGAACUCUAAACAUCUCCCCAAAAACCCCCAAAAACACCAUAAAACAUGCAUGCAAAACAGGCAAGGGAAGGUUGGACAGGGGACUUUCGGCGGCAGGUUCGGCGGCCGAAGGUCCCUACAGAUUCGAAAGUCAGGCACUUUCGGGGGCAAGGUUCGGCGGCCGAAAGCCUUCACAGAUCCGAAAAUCACUAACCUUCGGGGGCAGGUUCGGCAGUCGAAACUCCCCUCCAGAGCCGAAAGUCCAUCUUUCAGGGGCGAGUUUAGGCGGCCAAAGGCUGCCUCCACAGGCAGGUUCGGCGGCCGAACCUGGGUUCUUCCGAAUGGCAAAACCCGGUUCUACCUUGCUCAUCCAGCCACCAAAACAUCCAAAACACGCAUCCAACUAUUCUAAAACAUGCAUAUACAUUCAUUCCUGCAUAAGGGGUAUAAAACUAGCCUAAACCCCUACAAACAUCAACAUAGCAUCACAUUUAUCAUUAAACUAACAUAAACCCUAACAUUUUAGAUCUAACCAAAACAUGCAUCACUACCCCUUAACCCUUCAUAAAACUUACUUAAAAACACAAGAGAAGAUGAGGAUCUACACUUACCUCUUGAAGACCAAAGGUAGAUGCGACCCAAACUUGGAGAUGAGGAGGAAACGGGUUCCGGAGGUCUCCAAGUUUCAAAACUUUGGAUUAAGCUUAAAAUCUUCAAAAACAAGAUAGAAACUCAUAAAAAUCAUGAGAGACUUGAAUGAAAAGCAUAAGAUCGACAAGGGGUGGCGGAGACUCACCUUGUCCGGAAAUGGAGAGAGAAAACUUGUCCAUUUUCGGACAGGGGGCCUUUUAUAGGUGGCUGGCCAGACCACAUUCGGGGGCCAAAGGUGCCUCCGUAUCCGCCCCAUGUUCGGCGGCCGAACCUGGACCCUUUCCUCAAUCUCUUUUCUUUUCUUCUUUAAAACUUUAACUCAAAACUAACCAUUAAAAUCAUGAAAAACAUUUUGUAAAAACAUGUUUUACCCUUCUAGAGGUCCCGACAUUCGAGAUUCCGGAUUCCAAUAGAGAUUCCGUCGGAAGGUUGAAAUUUUGACGUCAGAGUCUAGCUGGGUAUUACACGACACUUAAAUUAUUUCUAUAUAGCUAACUUUCUAGUUCUAUAACAAAAAAAUUUAAUAAAAAGAGACUUUCAAUAAAAUUUAAAAAGUUAGGACUAAAAUAAAUUUCCAUAGAGAAAAGAACUCUAAUCUUUAUGAGCAAUAAUAGGACAUUUGCCUAUGACCAAUUGCCCGCCAUUUUUAUCUCAUACUCACUAGAAAAGUCAAAGCAACAUCAAUAAAGAUUUCACUCCAUUAGAAUUACACACACGGCUGAUCAUCCAAUCGGUUUGAUUUAAAAUUGAAUUGAAUCGAAUAAAUCAAAAAUUGAAAUUUUAGUGUUUGCAAAAAUCAAAUUGAACUAAUUUUAGUCAGAAACUAAAUCAAACUGAAUCGGUCUGAUUCGGUUUGAUUCAAUUCGGUUUGAUCGGUUUUGAUUUUUAAUAAUUUUUUAUUUUUUACGCUUUAUUUUUAAUAUUUUAAAAUUUAAUUAAAAUAUUUUAAUUUUAAUAUAAUUUAAUUUCUUUAUAUUAUUGAAAAUAAUAUAUUAUUAUUAUUAAUCGGUUCGGUUCAGUUUUUUUGAUUUUUUUUAUUAAAAUCGAACCGAACCGAAAUAAUCGAAAUUUUUAAAAUUAAAAAUCAAACCAAACCGAAUUGAAUAAAAAAUUAAACUGAAUUUUUAAAUUAAUUCAAUUCGAUCGACUUUUUCAGUUUGAACCAAAUAUGGCUCACCCCUAAUUACGCAUCCUCCAUUUUCUUUUAUGUUUUUUACAAUACAAAUGGAGUAGAUGUUAUUAAACACUUUAAUUUUAACUGUGAUAUAAUAAAUGUAUAGAAUUUAAAAAAUAUUAUUUUUAAAUAUUUAUAAUAUUAUUAUUAAUAUUAAAAUAUCUAAUAAAUAAAAAUACUAAAAUACCGUUAGCAAAUGCAAAUUCUCACUUAAACUCUCCUCUUCUCUUCAAAGGAAAGGCGGAAGAAGCAAGUUCUUAGCUAAGGGCUUUCCAUUGAAUCCAAUUUUUUCUUUUUUAAUAAUAAAAAUACAAGGAAACAAAGGCUGCUGGUGCUGACUCUUCACUGAAAAGAGUAACAAGACAAGAAUCCAUUAUGUUCGCCCUUUUUUAUUUUUUCUUUAAUCCAAUAUUGAAUCUGAUGACUAAACCUUUUUCUUUUCUCUUCUCUCUCUAACCGCCCCCCCUCCCCCACCUUCUGAAAAAUUAAAAAAAAACAACAACAAACCCUUGGCUUCCUUCUUCUGCAAGAUCUACAAGGUACAUGCACUAUCUUCAUCCAUUUUCUUUAAGAUUAAUGGUAUAAUUUACUUUUUCUUGUCUAUCAUUCUGCACAUUCAGUGCUUGACUUUCCAUUUAUUUAUUAUGAACUUGGAUUUUUUUUGUUUACUGUUUUUGUUUUUAGGGUUUAUCAGUCUCUUUGUAUUUUUCUCCUUUCUUGGUCUUUUGGUUAUAAAGAUAUCAUCUUUUCUGGAUUCUGAAAUUUACCCAGACACUAUUUUCGAUGGGCGAACACAUUGAUAAGGAUGUUUCUGGUAGUACUGUUUUGGAAUCGUCUAAAGAGACUGUAAGUGAUCGCGUAGCUAGUGGAGAUAGUGCGGAAACCCGAGUCGUUGAGGCAGUUGCUAGUGACGAUCAGUUUCAAGGUCAGGGUGUGAGUAAGGGAUCCUCAGCUGAAGGGGUGGUGACGGAGAAAGGCGGCUCUUGUAAUGGGGCGGAUACAGUGGCUGGGGUUAUGGGUUCUGAUAUAUACGUUGAUGGUGUUUGCACACGUAAUUCUGGCGGGGAAAAUUUGAGUGAAGAAGCAACUAAAAGUCAUGGUCAGUCAAGGGAGUUGGCCUCAGAGGGAGAUGUAAAAGCUGUAGGUGGUGGGUGUGGUGAUUCUAAUUCUAAGGUCGAUGAGGAUCCAAGUGAGGAAGCAUCAAAUUUGGGAACCGAGAGUGAGGUUGAGAAGUCUUCUGUGUUUGCUGAUUCUAAAGAAGGAGAGUUGGUGGAGGAUGGGGCAAGAGUUUGGGAGGAAAAACUGGGACUGGAGAUUGAGGUUGGAAAUUCUUCUGGAGUUGCUGAAUCUAAAGAAGAAGGAGAAUUAGUGGAGAAUGCGGCAAGUGUUAGGGAGGUAGACUUGAGGUCAGAUUCAGAAACUGAGGUUGGAACUUCUUCUGAGCUUGCAGAAUCUAAAGAAGAAGGAGAAAUGGUGGAGGGUGAUACAAGAGUUAGGGGUGUCAAUUUAGCAACUGGCUGUGAGAUUAAGUGUUCUGGAGUUGCAGAAUCUAAAGAAGAAGGUGUAUUGGUGGAGGGUGUGGCAAGAGUUAGAGAGAUCACUGGUGCUGAUGGGUGUUGUGUUGCUGAUGGUAUUACUUUGCAUGAAAUUGAUGCUGGGAAUCCUCAGAAUGUGGGAAUCAAAAGUGCAGUUGAAGAUUCUUCUCUUCUUGAAGGAUCCAGUGUAGGGGAAACCAAAAAUGUAGUUGAGAAAGAAGCAGUGGGUGCUGGGAAGGAAAGUUUGGAGGGAGGAUUGGGGAAGGAGUGUGUUGAGAAAGUUGAGAUGCAUUUUGUUAAGGACAUGAUUUCUCAGGAAGUUAGGGAUUCAGAGAAUGAAGCAUCGAAUCGAGGAGUUGAAAAUUUUGAAGAUUCCUCUGCAGGUUUGGGUUCUUCAGUAGUUGAAGCCCAAGAUAUUGCUGCAGAGAAAUCUGAAUUGGUUGAGGAGGUUAUGGAUCAGGCUAAGGAAACACAUGACAAUGAGGGAGCUGUGCUUCAAAAUUCAGAACCAGAAAAGGUUGGUGCUUUGGAUGUUGAGGAAUGGAAUCCUGGAAUAAGAACUGCAGGUGCACCUUCUUCAACCAUCAAGGAAGGUUCAUGCUUAAAGACUCACUGUAUUGAGGAGGAAGCUGCCGUGAUGGCUGAUAUUGGAAAUUUAGAUCCCAAAGUUGAAACAGUUUUGGAGGGGACACAUGGUACUGAUUCUGUGGAGGGGGUUGUAUCCAGUUCUGAGAAAGAUUUGGUUUCAAUAGAAAAAGAUGCCAUUACCAAUCCAACCUCCAAAUGCUUGGAUGGACAAACACAAGUUGCUGUUGAUGGGAAAAUGUCAUCAACGGAUGUUGAGGCAUGGAAUCCAGGAAUCAAAACUGCAGGUGCACCUUCUUCAACCAUCAAGGAAGGUUCAAGCUUAAAGGCCCAACAUAUUGAGGAGGAAGCUGCCGUGACAGCUGAUAUUGGAAAUUUAGAUCCCAAAGUUGAAACAGUUUUGGAUGGGACACAUAGGACUGAUCCUGUGGAGGGGGUUGUAUCCAGUUCUGAGAAAGAUUUAGAAAAAGAUGCCAUUACCAAUCCAACCUCCAAAUCCUUGGAUGGACAAACACAAGUUGCUGUUGAUGGCAAAAUUUCAUCAAAUGAGGAGAUUGCUUGUCCUAACAUUGAAGGUAUGGACACUGACGCUUUUAAUGAAAAUUUUUGUUUUUCAGUGGAAGAACUGCAGGCUGUGGUUGAGACACCCAAUGGAAGCACUGAAAAUCACUGUGAUGCAUUUGCAGAUUUGCAAUCUUCACAACAGCCAACUCAAGUAGUUGUUGGAGGUGAAGUUGCGGCAACUGAGAACAAGGUGCAUAAGAAUUCUGAAAAUGAAAGGAAAUUAAUAAUUGAAGAGUCCUCAGACCAGAUGAUGCCUCGUGAUUUUGCUCUGGCUCAGUCAACCGUAGAUCCAGAGAUGGGAGUUGAUGAACAAGUUACUGGUUCUGAGCAAGCUAGUAUGCAGAAAGAUCCAGGUAAGGUAGAGACCGCAAAUGCAAUUGUGAGCACUGAAAUUCACAGCCCGAAAGGUUUAGAUUUGGUGUCGUCUCAUCAGUCUGCACCUGCACUUGUUGGUGAUGAAGUUGUAGAAAUGAAUAAUAAGAUUGAUUCAGAUACUAAUUUCGAGGGUCAGGUAGUUAUGCAUUUGGAUGGAAUGUUAUCAUCAUCAGGAAAUGAACAGCAUGUAAAGACUGAGGUGGACUCUAUGGAAAUAGAUACUCACACUGCUUCAACUAACAAGGAUAAGGUUCAUUCAACUGCCAACGUUUCAGAUCCUGCUGAAAAAGACCCGGAGGUGAAGGUGAAAGAACACAUAGACAAGAGUGAAGCUUGUGAUUCUGAUCAGAGUAAUCCAAACAUAGGGCAGCUGAUGGAUGCUCAAGAACAGGUUACUCAUUUUGAACAGCUUGGAAAAGAAGAAACAGAGGUAGUAGAACUGAACUCAGAGGCCGGAACAGUUUGUGGAAGCAGAGAAACAGAUACCCUAUUAAUUAAUGGACCCGAUACUGGACUUCAGGGGCCACCUGAUGGGGAUCAGACUCUGACAGUUAAAGAAGACUUGGAUGCAAGUGCAGGUCAGGAUGUUUCUGAGAUUGGAUCAAGUGCAGCAACAGAAACAGUGGUUGAAGAGCAUGAUGCUUGUCUUGAUCAGGUUGGCUUGCAAGAAAGGCAAGAAAUGGAAGCUGAAGGACAGGAUACUGACUUUGAACAGCCAAAUACCUCUGAAGAGAAAUUUGCUAAACAAGAAGCUCCAAAUUCUGGAAGCACUGUAAUAGAAUAUCAAGCUUGUUAUCAGCUACCACCAGAUGAUGAAGGUGAGUUCACUGUAUCCGAUUUGGUCUGGGGCAAAGUGAGGAGCCAUCCGUGGUGGCCUGGACAGAUUUUUUAUCCUUCUGAUGCCUCUGAGAAAGCAAUGAAGUAUCAUAAAAAGGACUGUUUUCUGGUAGCAUAUUUUGGGGAUCGUACAUUUGCGUGGAACGAGGCAUCUCUGCUAAAGCCUUUCAGGUCACAUUUCUCCCUGGUUGAGAAGCAGAGCAAUUCUGAAGCAUUCCAGAAUGCUGUUGAUUGUGCUCUGGAAGAAGUUUCAAGGCGUGUAGAGUUUGGGCUGGCCUGCUCAUGCAUACCAAAGGAGACUUACGAUGAAAUUAAAUUUCAAAUAGUAGAGAACACUGGAAUUCGAGAAGAAGCAAGUGUAAGAGAUGGUGCAGACAAAUCCUUGCCUGCUGAUUUAUUUGAACCUGGUAAAUUAAUGGAGUAUAUGAAAGCAUUAGCACAAUGCCCAGCUGGUGGAGCUGAUCGUUUGGAACUUGUCAUUGCCAGGUCCCAAUUACUGGCCUUUUAUCGCUUAAAGGGUUAUUCUCAGUUGCCUGAAUUCCAGGUUUGUGGAGGUUUGUUGGAGAAUGCGGGCACUUUAGAAUUUGCAGAUGAAGUGAUUGAGCAUACAUAUCCUGUUUAUAAGGAUGAUGGACAAAUAUCAUCUGAUCAGGAGUUUUCACAUGCUCUAAGAAGUUCUUAUCACAAGCGCAAGCAUAAUUUGAAGGAUACUGUCUAUCCCAGGAAGAAAGAAAGAAGUUUGUCUGAAUUAAUGGGUGAUUCAUGGGAUUGUGUAGAUGAUGAAUUUGGUCCUGAUGGGAAAGCUAACAAUAAGUUAGUUUCACCAUCUUCUGGGAGGAAGCGGAAGGUCUAUGAUUCCUUUCCUGAUGACUCGGCUACAGCGGAAGGGAGAAAGACUAUCUCUCUUGCAAAUGUCUCGACUACUGCAUCUAAGCCUUCAUUCAAGAUUGGUGAAUGCAUCCGUAGAGUCGCUAGCCAGAUGACUGGGUCUACCUCCAUACUGAAGUCUAAUAACAUGAAGCAAGACGGAAGCAGUGAUCGACUUAUUGGGGAUGGAUCUGAUGCUUUAUUCCAACAUUCUGAGGAUGCUGAGAUGAGCAGAACAAUUGUUCCCACAGAAUACUCAUCCUUGGAUGAAUUGCUAUCACAGCUUCACUUGGCAGCACAAGAUCCCUUUAAAGGAUAUAGUUUCUUGACCAUCAUUGUUAGUUUUUUCUCUGAUUUUAGGAACUCGGUAAUUGUGGAGCAGCAUGAGAAAGUAGGUGGUAAAAGGAAACAAGCAUCUCAUUCAAUUGGUGGUUUGUCUGAAACAUUCGAAUUUGAGGAUAUGAGCGACACUUAUUGGACUGACCGGGUUAUUCAAAAUGGUUCUGAAGAGCAACCACGUAAAAGCCGAAAACGAGAUAAUCAACUUGUGCUUGCUAAUCAGGAUAAGGCUCUUAAUAUGUCAAACUCUAGAAAGCGGUAUUCUGAUGGCAAUCAUGACCUAUCAGCAGAGAAACCAGUGGGUUAUAUAGAUGAGAAUGCACCAGCAGAACUUGUUAUGCAUUUUCCUGUGGUGGAUUGUGUUCCUGCAGAAACAAGCCUGAAUAAGAUGUUUAGACGGUUUGGGCCUUUAAAAGAGUUAGAAACAG
Molecule: long non-coding RNA, 22968 nt
Filed under: Manihot esculenta (cassava)
Lineage: Eukaryota; Viridiplantae; Streptophyta; Magnoliopsida; Malpighiales; Euphorbiaceae
Description: long non-coding RNA (MESC_LNC005813)
Source: RNAcentral